This 446-nucleotide ribosomal RNA is filed under the name uncultured bacterium. RNAcentral describes it as "partial 16S ribosomal RNA". It matches the Rfam family "Bacterial small subunit ribosomal RNA", at positions 29 to 523 of the family's 1533-position model. The record is from RNAcentral.
AACGAACGCUGGCGGCAGGCUUAACACAUGCAAGUCGAACGCCCCGCAAGGGGAGUGGCAGACGGGUGAGUAACGCGUGGGAACGUGCCCUUCGCUUCGGAAUAGCCCCGGGAAACUGGGAGUAAUACCGGAUACGCCGUAUUGGAAAAGAUUUAUCGGCGAAGGAUCGGCCCGCGUUAGAUUAGCUAGUUGGCGGUGUAAUGGACCACCAAGGCUACGAUCUAUAGCUGGUCUGAGAGGAUGAUCAGCCACACUGGGACUGAGACACGGCCCAGACUCCUACGGGAGGCAGCAGUGGGGAAUCUUGGACAAUGGGCGCAAGCCUGAUCCAGCCAUGCCGCGUGAGUGAAGAAGGCCUUAGGGUUGUAAAACUCUUUCGCCGGAGAAGAUAAUGACGGUAUCCGGAGAAGAAGCCCCGGCUAACUUCGUGCCAGCAGCCGCCGUAA